GACGGGACCCGCACAAGCGGUGGAUGAUGUGGAUUAAUUCGAUGCAACGCGAAAACCUUACCUACCCUUGACAUGCCAGGAAUCCUGCAGAGAUGUGGGAGUGCUCGAAAGAGAACCUGGACACAGGUGCUGCAUGGCUGUCGUCAGCUCGUGUCGUGAGAUGUUGGGUUAAGUCCCGCAACGAGCGCAACCCUUGUCAUUAGUUGCCAUCAUUAAGUUGGGCACUCUAAUGAGACUGCCGGUGACAAACCGGAGGAAGGUGGGGAUGACGUCAAGUCCUCAUGGCCCUUAUGGGUAGGGCUUCACACGUCAUACAAUGGUCGGUACAAAGGGUUGCCAAGCCGCGAGGUGGAGCCAAUCCCAGAAAGCCGAUCGUAGUCCGGAUCGGAGUCUGCAACUCGACUCCGUGAAGUCGGAAUCGCUAGUAAUCGUGAAUCAGAAUGUCACGGUGAAUACGUUCCCGGGCCUU
RNAcentral lists this ribosomal RNA (469 nucleotides) under uncultured Azospira sp. Its description in RNAcentral is "bacterial SSU rRNA". It matches the Rfam family "Bacterial small subunit ribosomal RNA", at positions 916 to 1381 of the family's 1533-position model. Lineage: Bacteria; Pseudomonadati; Pseudomonadota; Betaproteobacteria; Rhodocyclales; Rhodocyclaceae. The record is from RNAcentral.